GCCAAAACUACAAUGAUUCUAGCCAAGUCUA
This 31-nucleotide non-coding RNA is filed under the name Mus musculus (house mouse). Lineage: Eukaryota; Metazoa; Chordata; Mammalia; Rodentia; Muridae. The record is from RNAcentral.